RNAcentral lists this ribosomal RNA (421 nucleotides) under Streptomyces scabiei. RNAcentral describes it as "bacterial SSU rRNA". It matches the Rfam family "Bacterial small subunit ribosomal RNA", at positions 556 to 975 of the family's 1533-position model. The record is from RNAcentral. Lineage: Bacteria; Bacillati; Actinomycetota; Actinomycetes; Kitasatosporales; Streptomycetaceae.
GGGCGUAAGAGCUCGUAGGCGGUCUGUCGCGUCGGAUGUGAAAGCCCGGGGCUUAACCCCGGGUCUGCAUUCGAUACGGGCAGACUAGAGUGUGGUAGGGGAGAUCGGAAUUCCUGGUGUAGCGGUGAAAUGCGCAGAUAUCAGGAGGAACACCGGUGGCGAAGGCGGAUCUCUGGGCCAUUACUGACGCUGAGGAGCGAAAGCGUGGGGAGCGAACAGGAUUAGAUACCCUGGUAGUCCACGCCGUAAACGGUGGGAACUAGGUGUUGGCGACAUUCCACGUCGUCGGUGCCGCAACUAACGCAUUAAGUUCCCCGCCUGGAGAGUACGGCCGCGAGGGUGGAACUAAAACGAAUUGACGGUAGCCCUCUUUAGCAGCGGAACAUGUGAAUUAGAUCGACCCAGCGGAAAAAACCCUAGC